This 501-nucleotide ribosomal RNA is filed under the name uncultured bacterium. RNAcentral's name for it is "partial 16S ribosomal RNA". It matches the Rfam family "Bacterial small subunit ribosomal RNA", at positions 30 to 523 of the family's 1533-position model. The record is from RNAcentral.
AUUGAACGCUGGCGGCAGGCUUAACACAUGCAAGUCGAGCGGAGAUGAGGUGCCUGCACCUUAUCUUAGCGGCGGACGGGUGAGUAAUGCUUAGGAAUCUGCCUAUUAGUGGGGGACAACAUUCCGAAAGGAAUGCUAAUACCGCAUACGUCCUACGGGAGAAAGCAGGGGAUCUUCGGACCUUGCGCUAAUAGAUGAGCCUAAGUCGGAUUAGCUAGUUGGUGGGGUAAAGGCCUACCAAGGCGACGACCUGUAGCGGGUCUGAGAGGAUGAUCCGCCACACUGGGACUGAGACACGGCCCAGACUCCUACGGGAGGCAGCAGUGGGGAAUAUUGGACAAUGGGGGGAACCCUGAUCCAGCCAUGCCGCGUGUGUGAAGAAGGCCUUAUGGUUGUAAAGCACUUUAAGCGAGGAGGAGGCUACUGAGACUAAUACUCUUGGAUAGUGGACGUUACUCGCAGAAUAAGCACCGGCUAACUCUGUGCCAGCAGCCGCCGUAA